GACGAACGCUGGCGGCGUGCUUAACACAUGCAAGUCGAACGGAAAGGCCUGCUUUCCCUUGUGGAUUGCGGGUACUCGAGUGGCGAACGGGUGAGAAACACGUGAGUGAUCUGCCCCCAACUUGGGUAUAAGCCUGGGAAACUGGGUCUAAUUCCCGAUAGGACUGCAGGGUGGUGCCUGUGGUGGAAAACGAUUUUCUAGUGGUUGGGGAUGAACUCGCGGCCUAUCAGCUUGUUGGUGGGGUAAUGGCCUACCAAGGCGGCGACGGGUAGCCGGCCUGGGGGGGGGGUGCGGCAACAGGGGGCAUGAAUGCCGCCCAAGCUCCCUACGGGGGGAGCGAGGGGGGAAUAGUGAACAGGGGGGGGAGGCUGGAGGCGGCGACGCGGGGUGGGGGAGGACGGCCUUGGGUUGGUAAACUCCUGUCGCCGGAGAGGAACCCCCGUGGUUGGAGGGGUGGUGAGGGUGGUGGAAGAAGAAGCCCCGGCUAACUAGGUG
RNAcentral lists this ribosomal RNA (495 nucleotides) under uncultured bacterium. RNAcentral describes it as "partial 16S ribosomal RNA". It matches the Rfam family "Bacterial small subunit ribosomal RNA", at positions 28 to 507 of the family's 1533-position model. The record is from RNAcentral.